RNAcentral lists this transfer RNA (71 nucleotides) under Pyxidicoccus fallax. It matches the Rfam family "tRNA". Rfam says of the family: Transfer RNA (tRNA) molecules are approximately 80 nucleotides in length. Lineage: Bacteria; Pseudomonadati; Myxococcota; Myxococcia; Myxococcales; Myxococcaceae. The record is from Rfam by way of RNAcentral. RNAcentral also lists the same sequence under 13 other names.
ACCUCCGUAGCUCAACGGCUGAGCACCCGGCUCUUACCCGGGCGGUGAGGGUUCGAAUCCCUCCGGAGGUA